Varroa destructor (honeybee mite) is the source of this 1853-nucleotide RNA transcript. RefSeq lists it as uncharacterized. The record is from RefSeq and is a predicted model, not a curated record. NCBI's taxonomy places the organism in Eukaryota, Metazoa, Arthropoda, Arachnida, Mesostigmata, Varroidae.
UCGGCGUCUGUCAAUCAAACCACGACGAUAACAACGUUACGUAUGGUGGCUUCGCUGUUACUUCGAUCGCAAAUGAAUUUGUCAGUAUGGAUAUGCGAAUGUGCUAGGCGUACUCUGCGAUUGUAUGUGGUUUUUUCGUAUGACGUAAGAUUUCACCUGUGUCACAAAUAUAGAAACGCGAGUUCUACUGCUGGAUGCGUAAAAUGGCGCACUCCGAGGAGCGUGAUUCGUUCAUAAAACAAUGACGUUCAAAGGCAAGCAGCCGUGCGAUACCCGUUCAAAGAUUACGAUGGAAAUAGGUUCCACGAACAUGCAAUCAACCCGCUCGAAACAGUUUGUCUCAUAGCUGUCGACGAGCCUCCUCAUGGCGUUCUCAGCGCUGGUCGACGUAGGGGGUCGGAGGCGGAAGGCGACGCGAUUAUAGCUUGACUAGUUCGCAAAUAUAUAAAAAAACAUAUCCUUUGCUAGGGGGCAAACGAAGCCAAAAAAGAGAAAGAAUACGGCCAUCAUCGUCAAAGCGAUUUCAAUAAAUUAUAGAUUACAUUGCACUUGUAUACUGCACGAUUAACAACUUCGAUGCGAUAAAGCUAAAUGACAAUGAUAAAUGUCCAUAUCUGUUCUCCAGAUGCUCGUUUCCACAGCUGCCGUUCCCAGUGGGCGAAGUCAAGGCUGGGUUGUUCAACUAGCAUUUAUGCAGAUUCUUCAGUAUCGGUUAUUUACGUCUGUUAGCACGUUUGGGGGCUACAAAGCUCAUUGGCACACUGGCCCCAUAGGCUGUACAGAUACGGUAGUAUAAACCAGUCCUUCCCCUCUGUGAGUAGCCGUGAAUAAGUUUGUCUGCGAUAGAUUAACUCUGUUUUAUGAGUGUCCCCAUUCACACAACCAGUAACCUUUUCAAAAAGAUGCUAUACGAGUGCUAAAUUGUGCAUUAUGUGUACAUUGAACUUUCCUUUCUUGGUUUCUAAAAGUUGUUGCCCUAGCCGUCAGACGACGAUACAAACCAUAGUAGCGUUUAAUAGCGGGCCUUCUGAACAAACAUGAACCAAAAAGAAAGCAACUCGUUAUUGUUAGUUGGACCUGAAACGGUUACAUUGAAACCAAGUCGCACCUAAAGGAACAAAUGAGUUCAUCCUGUCAGGUGACGAAAACUAUAAUUCUUAUAACGCUACUACACGUAAUACCGACAGAUUAGCAUGUAACCUUAUUUUAACUAUAAAAAAAGGAAAUUUAACAAUAAUUUUAAUUAAAACUAAAAACAAUUAGUAAGCUAAAUUUGUUAUUUACUACACUUCAUAAAAAGCUAUUCAGAUUUUUAUUCUUCUCCAGUAUAGUAGCAGCACAUAGUAACAGUUAAGGUCACCUAAAAAUGCACACUAAUUUAUCUAGUGCAAUAAUCACUGGCGCUCUGCAAAACCGAAAUACGCUGAUCCUCCGUUGCGUAUAUACAGGGGCAUGGAAUCCCCUCCCCACAAAUAUUUUAAAUGGCUUGCGCUACCUGUGUCCGCAAUUCGCAUGGCCAAUCCUCGACCUGAAAUGCCUAAUAGCUUUCAGCUUUGGAAUCUUUUUGGACGUUAUUUAUUUAAAGUGCGUGCAAGGUUGCGUGCUACGAAACCACGCAACCUUGAUAAUGUACUUUUAUACUGGUUACUUGUUUUUUGAUAUUUUUAAGGGUAUAGGGUCUACCUUACUAUCCAUUUGCUAAGUGCCACUCAACGUUUCCUAUUAUCAUCAGUACUAUCAUCACAUAGUUAACGAGUACACACAUAUACCUGUAUGCCACGUUAUUUGCCAUAUCCUAUAUGGUGGUACAUAUUUAUGUACAUAGACAGGAGACAAUGGCACAUUUAAAAUUA